UCCAGACCAUGGGUUUGCCUGAGCCAGUAGUGCCCAUGUCUCCUCCAGUAUCUAUGAGGGCCACGGAGAGCCUCUCAUUCUAGGAGAUGAUCCAGUUCACGGAGGGCUUGAAUGCCAACUACUUCUGCAGGGAGGGGAAUUAUUCGACAUUCAUCCAGACAUACCUCAUGCCUCCCUUGAUAGGUGUUUGCACUCAUGCAGGUAGAGUAGCAGGUGCCCCUACAGCAGGUAAGACUCGGACGACAAGGACUAGGAUUGGAGGGGCCCUUCCCACUGGGCAGGUCAUCGGUUGGCCAGAGCUUCCGACCGAGUUGACAUGCUGGCGGCAUACCGGGGAUCCCUACCAAGUCCUGAUUGAGCCCGCAGCGGCCAGGCAUGUACUUGUUGGGGUUCGAGGCUCGACUUAGCCCUCUACAGAGCACACGGGGAGGGCUCUUGAGCUGAUUGCCUCCCUGAUGGACAUGGUGCAGCGGAGAGAGGCGCUGCUCAGUCUGUACGGUAUUAAGUUCCAGGCAUACUAAGAACACUAGCGACAACGACUGCGCCUGCAUCAUCACCACCACCUCCAGCAGUAGAGAGGAGAGAGAGACGGGCCCCAGCACGCAGCCAAGAGGAGCAUCGUGGCCGAGACUGGAGGAGCCUUCCGGAGCCAGUGUUGAGUGAUAAUGAUGCUGUGACCAAUGGCUCCGAGGAGGCGGUGAUUUCGCAGUUUGAGUCCUCCGAGAGUGGAGAUGACGGUGGCUCGAGAUCUGAAAGUGGAGGUGAUAUUGAGUUAGGCUCCAGAGGAGAGAGCGGUGAUGAUUCCGAUUCCGGUUCGGCAUCUGAGUUAGACAGCGGUGCUGAUAGCGACAGUGGUAGUCUUCUCCUCCGAGGAAGAGGACGAAGAGGGCCUUUAGUGUAUGAGGCGACUAGCACUGAUUUAUUUGUACUUUGCUUAGUUUCUUUUUGUUAGUAGCAUUAGCACAUGUAUAACUUUAGGAAGUUCUAUUUUGCUUUAAAACUUUGUACUCAUCUUUUGUAAAAAGCCAUGAUCGAAAUAAA
This is a long non-coding RNA of Camellia sinensis, 1041 nucleotides long. RefSeq lists it as uncharacterized. The record is from RefSeq and is a predicted model, not a curated record. NCBI's taxonomy places the organism in Eukaryota, Viridiplantae, Streptophyta, Magnoliopsida, Ericales, Theaceae.